GACGAACGCUGGCGGCGUGCUUAACACAUGCAAGUCGAACGGAAAGGCCUUCUUUCCCUUGUGUUUUGCGGGUACUCGCGUGGCGAACGGGUGAGUAACACGUGAGUGAUCUGUUCCCAACUUGUGUAUAAGCCUGGGAUACUGUGUCUAAUUCCCGAUAGGACUGCAGGGUGGUGCGUGUGGUGGCACACGAUUUUCUUGUGGUUGCGGAUGAGCUCGCGGCUUAUCAGCUUGUUGGUGGGGGAAUGGCCUACCAAGGCGGCGACGGGUAGCCGGCCUGGGAGGGGGGACAGCGGAAGUGGGACUGGGAUACGGGCCAGACGGGUAGGGGAAGCAGGAGUGGGGAAUCAUGGGGAAUGGGCGGGAGCCUGAUGCAGCGAGGCGGAGAAGGAGAUGACGGGCUUCGGAUUGUAAACUCCUUGCGAACACGAGGAAGCGACCUGGAUGGAAGGGUGGUGACGGUAGUGGUAGAAGAAGCACCGGCUAACUACGUG
RNAcentral lists this ribosomal RNA (494 nucleotides) under uncultured bacterium. RNAcentral describes it as "partial 16S ribosomal RNA". It matches the Rfam family "Bacterial small subunit ribosomal RNA", at positions 28 to 507 of the family's 1533-position model. The record is from RNAcentral.